Molecule: ribosomal RNA, 253 nt
Filed under: uncultured bacterium
Lineage: Bacteria
Description: partial 16S ribosomal RNA
Rfam family: Bacterial small subunit ribosomal RNA
Source: RNAcentral
UACGUAGGGUGCGAGCGUUGUCCGGAAUUAUUGGGCGUAAAGAGCUCGUAGGCGGCUUGUCGCGUCGGAUGUGAAAGCCCGGGGCUUAACUCCGGGUCUGCAUUCGAUACGGGCAGGCUAGAGUUCGGUAGGGGAGAUCGGAAUUCCUGGUGUAGCGGUGAAAUGCGCAGAUAUCAGGAGGAACACCGGUGGCGAAGGCGGGUCUCUGGGCCGAUACUGACGCUGAGGAGCGAAAGCGUGGGGAGCAAACAGG